Molecule: long non-coding RNA, 543 nt
Organism: Salvia miltiorrhiza (redroot sage)
Lineage: Eukaryota; Viridiplantae; Streptophyta; Magnoliopsida; Lamiales; Lamiaceae
Exons: 2
Source: RefSeq, a predicted model, not a curated record
AGGGUUAAUUUUCGCAGCCCUCACAACCUAACCUCUGAAACUUUCGCAUUCUCAAUAGCGCAGCUGCUUCGAAGAAAGAACUAAACCCAUUUUGUUUCCUCUCUCAAUCGCCAUUCCCAGGUGUCGCGCCGCUUUCCAGCUUAUCUACCGGCUACCGCGUCGUGGCCGACAAUCUCUCUCCGAUGCGACGUGACUGGUUUUCCUGCAACUGUCUACAAGUAUGUAACUGAAAAUGAAACGAUAAUCACAUAGUUACUACAAGUGUGGCGGGUCUUAUUGGCUAGCUAUUGCUAUAGUUGAAAGAGCCUUUUCAGCAAUGAAGAUCAUCAAAAGUGUUCUUUGCAAUCGUAUGGGAGACAAUCUUUUGAACGAUUGUUUAGUAUCUUACAUCGAAAAGGAUGUGUUUGUAAAUGUUACUAAUGAAGCUAUUAUGCAAAGGUUUUAGAACAUGAAGAAUAGGAGAGAAAUGUUGUGAUUUGUAAAAGAAAUUGUUUAUUUUGUCUUUUUGACUCGUUAUGUAAUUUAAAUGACAUUAUAAUUAUG